Molecule: ribosomal RNA, 162 nt
Filed under: uncultured bacterium
Lineage: Bacteria
Description: partial 16S rRNA
Rfam family: Bacterial small subunit ribosomal RNA
Source: RNAcentral
UAGGGAAUCUUCCACAAUGGGCGAAAGCCUGAUGGAGCAACGCCGCGUGUGUGAUGAAGGGUUUCGGCUCGUAAAACACUGUUGUAAGAGAAGAAUGACAUUGAGAGUAACUGUUCAAUGCGUGACGGUAUCUUACCAGAAAGGAACGGCUAAAUACGUGCC